Molecule: long non-coding RNA, 230 nt
Filed under: Phoenix dactylifera (date palm)
Lineage: Eukaryota; Viridiplantae; Streptophyta; Magnoliopsida; Arecales; Arecaceae
Description: long non-coding RNA (PDAC_LNC007258)
Source: RNAcentral
CUUGAAAGAAGCUUUAGAGCACCGAAGUUUACAUGUCCGAACCGCAAAUGCCAAAGCCAAGAUACAUCCUUCAUACAUGCACUUAGACAUUUAGCAACAAUAUGAUUUAUGUUUAAUACAAACAUGCGGUUAUUUUACAUAGGAACAUGAGCAAUCAAUUUAUUUUGUUUCCUUAGAUAGAAGCUUCCUUCCUUUAGUUGCAUAUCAAAUCCUCUCUCCAAGAGUUGCCC